RNAcentral lists this ribosomal RNA (420 nucleotides) under uncultured eukaryote. RNAcentral's name for it is "bacterial SSU rRNA". It matches the Rfam family "Eukaryotic small subunit ribosomal RNA", at positions 592 to 1018 of the family's 1831-position model. The record is from RNAcentral.
CAAUAGCGUAUAUUAAAGUUGUUGCGGUUAAAAGCUCGUAGUUGGAUUUCUGCUGAGGACGAUCGGUCCGCCCUCUGGGUGAGCAUUGACUCGGCCUUGGCAUCUUCUUGGAGAACGCUACUGCACUUGACUGUGUGGUGCGGUAUCCAGGACUUUUACUUUGAGGAAAUUAGAGUGUUUCAAGCAGGCGCACGCCUUGAAUACAUUAGCAUGGAAUAAUAGGAUAGGACCUUGGUUCUAUUUUGUUGGUUUUGAGAGCUGGGGCAGCGAUUGAUAGGGACGGAUGGGGGCGUCCGAACUUUACUGUCAGAGGUGAAAUUCUUAGAUCGGUCAAAGGCGAACUACUGCGAACGCAUUCGCCAAGAAUGUUUUCUUUAAUCAAGAACGAAAGUUAGGGGAUCGAAGAUGAUCAGAUACCAU